Molecule: small nucleolar RNA, 104 nt
Organism: Lemur catta (Ring-tailed lemur)
Lineage: Eukaryota; Metazoa; Chordata; Mammalia; Primates; Lemuridae
Product: small nucleolar RNA U13
Exons: 1
Source: RefSeq, a predicted model, not a curated record
AUUCUUUUGUGGUUCAUAAUUAUGAUGAUUAGGUUUUCACGUUUGUGUGUGAGAUGCACCUCCCUCAAACUUUGUUAUGAUGUGGGCACAUUCCUUGCCUGACA